RNAcentral lists this unclassified non-coding RNA (411 nucleotides) under soil metagenome. Its description in RNAcentral is "partial contains 5.8S ribosomal RNA, internal transcribed spacer 2, and large subunit ribosomal RNA". The stretch from base 1 to 121 matches the Rfam family "5.8S ribosomal RNA", at positions 35 to 154 of the family's 154-position model. The record is from RNAcentral.
GAUGAAGAACGCAGCGAAAUGCGAUAAGUAGUGUGAAUUGCAGAAGUACCGUGAAUCAUCGAAUCUUUGAACGCAAAUUGCACUCUCUGGUAUUCCGGGGAGUAUGCCUGUUUGAGGGUCGCUUAACAAACCAUCGAUUUCGUUGCUUUUUUUUUUUAAAAAAGUGAUGUUUAUCGGAUUUGAGCCGUCUUUUUUUUAUAUUUAAGGUGCUUAAAAUUGAUUUUUUUGGUACGAUCGAAGCGUAUUUUUAUGAUCAAUUUUUGGUUAAAGAAACGCACACGUACCGUUAUUUAUAUGAUGUAAUACGUUUGACUAUUGGAUUUAGUUCAUUCGUAUACGAUAUUUUUCAAUAUUUGACCUCAAAUCAGGUAAGAACACCCGCUGAACUUAAGCAUAUCAAUAAGCGGAGGA